This 253-nucleotide ribosomal RNA is filed under the name uncultured bacterium. RNAcentral describes it as "partial 16S ribosomal RNA". It matches the Rfam family "Bacterial small subunit ribosomal RNA", at positions 524 to 776 of the family's 1533-position model. The record is from RNAcentral.
UACGUAGGGCGCAAGCGUUGUCCGGAAUUAUUGGGCGUAAAGAGCUCGUAGGCGGUUUGUCGCGUCUGCUGUGAAAACCUAAGGCUCAACCUUGGGCUUGCAGUGGGUACGGGCAGACUAGAGUGCGGUAGGGGUGACUGGAAUUCCUGGUGUAGCGGUGAAAUGCGCAGAUAUCAGGAGGGACACCGGUGGCGAAGGCGGUUCUCUGGGCAUGUUCUGACGCUGAGGAGCGAAAGCGUGGGGAGCGAACAGG